Molecule: ribosomal RNA, 655 nt
Filed under: uncultured bacterium
Lineage: Bacteria
Description: bacterial SSU rRNA
Rfam family: Bacterial small subunit ribosomal RNA
Source: RNAcentral
GAGACCGGCGCACGGGUGCGUAACGCGUAUGCAAUCUGCCUCUCACUGGGGAAUAGCCCGGAGAAAUCCGGAUUAAUGCCCCAUGGUAUUUUGGAAUGGCAUCAUUCUAUUAUUAAAGAUUUAUCGGUGAGAGAUGAGCAUGCGUCCCAUUAGUUAGUUGGUAAGGUAACGGCUUACCAAGACGAUGAUGGGUAGGGGUCCUGAGAGGGAGAUCCCCCACACUGGUACUGAGACACGGACCAGACUCCUACGGGAGGCAGCAGUGAGGAAUAUUGGUCAAUGGGCGCAAGCCUGAACCAGCCAUGCCGCGUGCAGGACGACGGCCCUAUGGGUUGUAAACUGCUUUUGUACGGGAAGAAACAGCGAUUCGUGAAUCGCCUUGACGGUACCGUAAGAAUAAGGAUCGGCUAACUCCGUGCCAGCAGCCGCGGUAAUACGGAGGAUCCAAGCGUUAUCCGGAAUCAUUGGGUUUAAAGGGUCCGUAGGCGGGCCUGUAAGUCAGUGGUGAAAUCUCCCCGCUCAACGGGGAAACUGCCAUUGAUACUGCAGGUCUUGAAUUAUUGGGAAGUAACUAGAAUAUGUAGUGUAGCGGUGAAAUGCUUAGAGAUUACAUGGAAUACCGAUUGCCGAAGCAGGUUACUACCGAUGGAUUGAC